This 253-nucleotide ribosomal RNA is filed under the name uncultured bacterium. RNAcentral describes it as "partial 16S ribosomal RNA". It matches the Rfam family "Bacterial small subunit ribosomal RNA", at positions 524 to 776 of the family's 1533-position model. The record is from RNAcentral.
UACGUAGGGGGCAAGCGUUAUCCGGAUUUACUGGGUGUAAAGGGGGCGCAGACGGCGAUGCAAGCCAGGAGUGAAAGCCCGGGGCCCAACCCCGGGACUGCUCUUGGAACUGCGUGGCUGGAGUGCAGGAGGGGCAGGCGGAAUUCCUGGUGUAGCGGUGAAAUGCGUAGAUAUCAGGAGGAACACCGGUGGCGAAGGCGGCCUGCUGGACUGCAACUGACGUUAAGGCCCGAAAGCGUGGGGAGCAAACAGG